UACGGAGGGUGCAAGCGUUAUCCGGAUUCACUGGGUUUAAAGGGUGCGUAGGCGGGCAGGUAAGUCCGUGGUGAAAUCUCUGAGCUUAACUCAGAAACUGCCAUGGAUACUAUUUGUCUUGAAUAUUGUGGAGGUAAGCGGAAUAUGUCAUGUAGCGGUGAAAUGCUUAGAUAUGACAUAGAACACCAAUUGCGAAGGCAGCUUACUACAAAGUUAUUGACGCUGAGGCACGAAAGCGUGGGGAGCGAACAGG
This 253-nucleotide ribosomal RNA is filed under the name uncultured bacterium. Its description in RNAcentral is "partial 16S ribosomal RNA". It matches the Rfam family "Bacterial small subunit ribosomal RNA", at positions 524 to 776 of the family's 1533-position model. The record is from RNAcentral.